GGGGUGUGUAAUAGACUUACCUCCACGUGGUACACCCUGGGCAACGUAUGCUCAUACGGCAAAAAGUUUAUAA
Molecule: ribozyme, 73 nt
Filed under: Rodentolepis nana
Lineage: Eukaryota; Metazoa; Platyhelminthes; Cestoda; Cyclophyllidea; Hymenolepididae
Description: Hymenolepis nana HDV ribozyme from F. prausnitzii
Rfam family: HDV ribozyme from F. prausnitzii
Source: Rfam by way of RNAcentral